GAGAUGGUGUUGUGUCUUCUGUCAUGUAGGCCGCAGUAUGGACUUAAUGCGGAAGACUCGAGAACAUUUACCAGUGUGUCUGUAAGAUACAUUCAUCUGACGUGCAGAGAAGUCACACAGCACUAAGCAGUGCAGCCAGCUUUAUGAGAGACAUUGUGUCACGUAAUGAUGUGACAGUGGUGUGAAUAUUAUCUUUUGCAACAUGUACUUUGUACUCUCCCAACCUGGAGGAUAAAUAAAGAAUUAUGUCGUCUACUAUUACCAGUAUCCAGCGCGUGGUCAGCUGAUGGAGACGACUUCGAACCGGAGUUAUCUACAUUCUUUUUUCUCGGCAAGGCAUGAGUUGAGAAAUAUUCCUCAUCGCAGUGCGUCCUAAACUACAAACUCUCGCAGUGUUCAGGAGUCCGGUUUCCAUACCCCGUUACAUCUCGAGACUUAUCCAUACCAGUAAAACUGAAAAUAAACAGACCAGGAAUAUAAAUAUCUAUCUGGUAUAGACCUUUAUCGAAGGGCACUCUCUUCCUCGUCAUUUGACUCCAGCAUGUGAACCAGUGUACUUGGUGUGUAUGUUCCGGAUUCGACUUCUCCCAGUCUCUAGGAGCCAGUGAUACUUGGCCAUCCUACUUGCUUGGGGCGUCUGUCUGUUUCUUCAUACAUCUGUAAGUGGGUAUAACAAAAUGUCGAAGCUACUUUCUAAAAGUCUUGUUCACGUUGGUGACAGACGUGGCCAGAAGCCGGCGCUACGGCGUGUAUCCUCGCCAACAGUUGCGACAUAGCCCUGACUGUAUGUCUGUCAGUCUCAGUCUGACACUGGCGCUUUGUGUUUGAGACAGACAAAAUAUAGAAGUGUCAGUGUGUAUCGCCGGAGACCCUAUCUAUCAUUGUUGGCCAGACUUACAGCGACAUGGACGCUGUUUCACCUGUGUUCUUGUGGCGUUUUUGCGAGUCCAGGUGUGUUUUGCCAGACAGGCGGAGUUCGUUAAUUUCUGGUAAUGGCCCCUCUCUCCAUUCAAACGGGUGACUGGUUAGAGCAGGGGUGAUCUCUGGGCUCCGCAGGUGACAUAUGGGGUAGAAGUGCUUGGUCUUACAACGUCUCCAAGUUUCAAUCAAGAGUACUGCUGAAUAGUUCUAACACGGGAAUAGAGUCGACUAUUAUCCCCCACCCAUACUGCUGAUACAGCUAGUACGUUUAUAUAGCAGGUGGAUAUAACUAACACCAGACUGUUUUGUGUCAGGUACAAAACAUAAGAAAUAAAACUUUAUCCUGAUAAUU
Haliotis rubra (blacklip abalone) is the source of this 1273-nucleotide long non-coding RNA. RefSeq lists it as uncharacterized. NCBI's taxonomy places the organism in Eukaryota, Metazoa, Mollusca, Gastropoda, Lepetellida, Haliotidae. The transcript is spliced from 2 exons. The record is from RefSeq and is a predicted model, not a curated record.